CCCUCCCUCUGGCGGCAUGCCUAACACAUGCAAGUCGAACGAGACCUUCGGGUCUAGUGGCGCACGGGUGCGUAACGCGUGGGAACCUGCCCUUAGGUUCGGAAUAACUCCCCGAAAGGGGUGCUAAUACCGGUUAAUGUCUUCGGACCAAAGAUCUAUCGCCUUUGGAUGGGCCCGCGUUGGAUUAGCUAGUUGGUAGGGUAAAAGCCUACCAAGGCGACGAUCCAUAGCUGGUCUGAGAGGAUGAUCAGCCACACUGGGACUGAGACACGGCCCAGACUCCUACGGGAGGGAGCAGUGGGGAAUAUUGGACGAUGGGCGAAAGCCUGAUACAGCAAUGCCGCGGGAGUGAUGAAGGCCUUAGGGUUGUAAAGCUCUUUUACCCGGGAUGAUAAUGACGGUACCGGGAGAAUAAGCUCCGGCUAACUCCGUG
This 433-nucleotide ribosomal RNA is filed under the name uncultured bacterium. Its description in RNAcentral is "partial 16S ribosomal RNA". It matches the Rfam family "Bacterial small subunit ribosomal RNA", at positions 36 to 507 of the family's 1533-position model. The record is from RNAcentral.